AGGAGGAGGAAGUGGUAUAGCUCAGUCCCGGGAUCCGGCUCAGCGCCAGGCAGGGCUAAGGGCCACCCGAGCGGAUUCGGCCCCGCGGUCAGGGCCAAGCUGGGCUCCGGCGCUGCUGCUCCCGCGGCGCCGACUGGAGCUCCAGAGCCCCUCCCGUCUCUACCUGCUCGAGCUCCCGAAGUCGCCGCGCCUUAACGCGCCGUGUCGGGGCCGCAGGCGCCACUAGGGAAGCCCAGCUCCCCGCUGGAAGGACGCUCCGGACACUGCGAAUGAAUGACGACAACGCGGCUCACUUGGAGCGGGUCCGGGUUUGUGCGGACUCGGUACCACCGCGGGCUCCGCGCGCCGAGCUGAGCAGCUGUGGCUGGCUUCGGGGGAACCUUCGGGGGAAGCUCCUGGGGACCGUGUGCCAAGCACUGGGCCCGACGCCCAUCCCAGCAGGGAGGACGCCGCCAGCCUGCGUGGGUGCGUGUGUGCUGUUUGUGUUUAAGGUUGACGCUCUAUGGGAUAGCGCCACCCCUUUUCCCAGGAAAAGUGUUUCAAGGUUCCAGACCUGGAGCUCGGUUAGAGACCCGGGGUCGGAAGCCAACGCAGCCAAUGGUCGUCGAUGUUUUUGUUUCCUGCAUCCCCAGGGCAAGUCAUGCGCUAAACUUGUCACCGCUUGUGACCCCUCCCCCCUCUCCAUUCCAUUGUAAUUAAAGUGGCCUAGCUAAGUGCAUUACAUCACUUCUUUCCUUGACCUGUAGGGCGUGAGCAAUAGAGAAGUUGGAAGCGGCCCAAAAGCUUAGACCAACUAAUUCACACCACAGCUGUUCCUAUAUCGCAUUUGGGGCUUCGAAAACUGGGCAUGGCAGAAUUUUAAAAUUUAUCCACUCUUGGUAGAUGGAUUUUUUUUUUAAUCAGUGAAACCAGAAACACACAAACCAGGGCAGCUUUAUCCCUAGACAGUUUCAGUUUCCCCAAAUACUUCGAGCUUCCAGUGGUGAUCACAGCCCAUCUGCCUACAUAUCUGAUGACCAUUUUUUUUUCCUCCCGCCCAGGAGAUCUGGAGGAUAGUUCAGCCAAAAAAAAAAAAAAAAAAAAAAAAAAAAAAGUUCCUCUUCCCAAAUGAUGGGAAUUUAGCAGACUCUGCUUUGUUGUGGAUGCUGGGCAAUCCUAGGGACUUUUCCCUUUCCAAAUGAGCAGAGAUUCAAAUGAAACCUUCUUGUGUGGGCUUCAAAAUUGUGACUUUUGUAGCUCCGACUUGAAUUGUUGAAUUCCUUCAAUUAGUCGAAUGAGCAAAUCACCAGCCAUUCUAAUGAGACUGCCAUUUCAUCUGUUCGCUUCCUACCGCUUGGGCUCUCAAGGAAUGGAAGUUUCCCUUGAUGUUACCACACAGACUGAUCUGCUUCUUCCAGGCAUCAGUGGAAACCUCAUGUAUUUAACACAGACUCAAAAAACUCAUUUGGCACUUUUGGUCACAGUGCAGUGCCUUCAGUCACAAAAUCUGCAAAUAAAAAGCAAACAAUAAGAUUAUAA
Homo sapiens (human) is the source of this 1518-nucleotide long non-coding RNA. Lineage: Eukaryota; Metazoa; Chordata; Mammalia; Primates; Hominidae. The record is from Ensembl.